This is a long non-coding RNA of Arachis duranensis, 356 nucleotides long. RefSeq lists it as uncharacterized. The transcript has 3 exons. NCBI's taxonomy places the organism in Eukaryota, Viridiplantae, Streptophyta, Magnoliopsida, Fabales, Fabaceae. The record is from RefSeq and is a predicted model, not a curated record.
UUUCUAUGUUCUAGUUCAAGUUAGCUUCCGGAACUUGUGGGCUCAAGCUAUUGAGCAUAUGGGUAUGGUGUAGUUUAAGAGGGUGUUUAUGCAUUGGACUUGAAUUUGGAUUACUUGGAGCUUUGUUGGUGACAAGGCUUGCUUUGGGGCUAUUUGAUUGAGCUUGGAGGGGCUGUGAUUUUGUGUUGAGAGGCUGCCUUGGGUGAAUUAAGUGAUCAGCCAAGAUGCAGGUCGAGAGGCUCCUUGCUAGGCGUCUGGAUCCUGGAAAGCGAAGUAGUCCUUGGGUGUAUUUUGGUUUCUAUUUGUAUAGAUGUAUAUAUAUGUGUAGCUUACUCUCCAAGUAACUUAUGUACGCU